Molecule: ribosomal RNA, 253 nt
Filed under: uncultured bacterium
Lineage: Bacteria
Description: partial 16S ribosomal RNA
Rfam family: Bacterial small subunit ribosomal RNA
Source: RNAcentral
UACGUAGGGUGCGAGCGUUGUCCGGAAUUAUUGGGCGUAAAGGGCUCGUAGGCGGUUUGUCGCGUCGGGAGUGAAAACCCAGGGCUUAACUCUGGGCUUGCUUUCGAUACGGGCAGACUAGAGGUAUGCAGGGGAGAACGGAAUUCCUGGUGUAGCGGUGAAAUGCGCAGAUAUCAGGAGGAACACCCGUGGCGAAGGCGGCGCCCUGGUCCGUUUCUGACGCUGAGACGCGAAAGCGCGGGGAGCGAACGGG